CCUACGGGAGGCAGCAGUAAGGAAUAUUGGACAAUGCUCGCAAGAGUGAUCCAGCCAUGCCGCGUGCAGGAAGAAUGCCCUAUGGGUAGUAAACUGCUUUUGAACUAGAGAAAACCCCAGUACGUGUACUGGGCUGAUAGUAUAGUUAGAAUAAGCAUCGGCUAACUUCGUGCCAGCAGCCGCGGUAAGACGAAGGAUGCAAGCGUUAUCCGGAUUCAUUGGGUUUAAAGGGAGCGUAGGUGGACUGAUAAGUCAGUGGUGAAAUCUCCGAGCUUAACUCGGAAAUUGCCAUUGAUACUGUUGGUCUUGAGUACAGUUGCUGUGGGCGGAAUAUGACAUGUAGUGGUGAAAUACAUAGAGAUGUCAUAGAACACCGAUUGCGAAGGCAGCUCACAAAGCUGUAACUGACACUGAGGCUCGAAAGUGCGGGGAUCAAACAGGAUUAGAUACCCUGGUAGUCCGCACCGUAAACGAUGAUUACUCGCUGCGAGGGCGACCGUUACGUUGGUGUUAGCGAAGAACGAGUAAGUUAAGUUACGUACCGUUAGGGUUAGGUACGGCCGGCCGGACGGUACGGAACGUUACGAAGGAAGUUAGACGGACGGNGAGACGNGCGACGGACGACGACGAGGGAGGUAGG
This 640-nucleotide ribosomal RNA is filed under the name uncultured bacterium. Its description in RNAcentral is "bacterial SSU rRNA". The stretch from base 1 to 543 matches the Rfam family "Bacterial small subunit ribosomal RNA", at positions 338 to 873 of the family's 1533-position model. The record is from RNAcentral.